AACAUCGUUUUAAUUGGUUAAUUGUGAACUAGUAAGUGGUGACUGUGAUUAAGUAUGUGCUCAAGUGUAAUGAUGACCAAAAUCUGUGGGAAUGAUGAUUUUUAACACGUCAUGUUUCAUUAAAAAUCCCUGAGGCAAUUGUUGGAAGGUCUAGGUUGUGUUUUGUUUUGUUUUGUUUUGUUUCUUUUGUUUUGCUCGAGGACUAGCAAAAGCUAAGUGUGGGGGAAUUUGAUAGGAGCAUAUUUAUACGACUUAGUUAGCUUGUUUCUUGGCAUUUAUGUUCUUAGUUCGUAGUUAUUUUAGUAUUUUAAGCUAUUUUCGUGUGUUUGUAGGUCCAAAGGGUUAAUGUGGCAAAAAAGUGCAUUUUGGAGCAUUUUUGGGCAUGGAAUGGAUAACAUAUGCUUGGAGCAAAAGGAAUUGACGAAAUUUGAAGUUUGUGCAUCAUCCUCUCCCUAGAAAUAACCAUUUUAGCACACUCAUUUCACCCAACACAUUCACUCAUUACAACCACCCAACACAUUCACCUACCACUACAUCCACUCAUUUCACCCAAC
This 554-nucleotide long non-coding RNA is filed under the name Malus domestica (apple). Its description in RNAcentral is "long non-coding RNA (MDOM_LNC011359)". The record is from RNAcentral. Lineage: Eukaryota; Viridiplantae; Streptophyta; Magnoliopsida; Rosales; Rosaceae.